RNAcentral lists this ribosomal RNA (224 nucleotides) under uncultured bacterium. RNAcentral's name for it is "partial 16S ribosomal RNA". It matches the Rfam family "Bacterial small subunit ribosomal RNA", at positions 524 to 745 of the family's 1533-position model. The record is from RNAcentral.
UACGUAGGGGGGCAAGCGUUGUCCGGAAUUAUUGGGCGUAAAGAGCUCGUAGGCGGUUUGUCGCGUCUGCUGUGAAAACCUAAGGCUCAACCUUGGGCUUGCAGUGGGUACGGGGCAGACUAGAGUGCGGUAGGGGUGACUGGAAUUCCUGGUGUAGCGGUGGAAUGCGCAGAUAUCAGGAGGAACACCGAUGGCGAAGGCAGGUCACUGGGCCGCAACUGACG